Molecule: long non-coding RNA, 427 nt
Organism: Acomys russatus (golden spiny mouse)
Lineage: Eukaryota; Metazoa; Chordata; Mammalia; Rodentia; Muridae
Exons: 4
Source: RefSeq, a predicted model, not a curated record
AGGCUUUGGCUCUUCCACACCUUGGGGAAACUCUUCGGGGCGGCGUCUCAGAAUUCCAUCCUGGGACUAUUACACACAGAAUUUCCUUAGGAGCUGUGACUGGGCCCUAUGAUGAUACACCAACAUCUUGUGCUACCAACUGUCAAAACUUUGGAUGGUCUAACACUCAGGUCAUGACCCUUGUAACUAAGAAUUCUUGAAGACAAUGUUGAACAUGAUCCAGGAGAAAAUGUGAUUCGAGUCUGGAGACAAUUGUGCAUGUAUACUUUUCUUAAGACCUUAAAAAACAAGUCCAGGGUAGCUGAUUGAUAGAAGAAAAGCAGUAUUCUGAAGGCUGCUUAUGAUUGACAAGAGCAGCCACAGCUAGCGAGGUGAGUUAAUGGGGUUGAACGGUGGAGAAAAUCCAGUCUAACAACCAAUGAAAUGU